AGGACGAACGCUGGCGGCGUGCUUAACACAUGCAAGUCGAGCGGAAAGGCCCUUCGGGGUACUCGAGCGGCGAACGGGUGAGUAACACGUGAGUAACCUGCCCCUAGCUCUGGGAUAGCUCCGGGAAACCGGGAUUAAUACCAGAUACGACCACUUUAGACAUCUGUCGUGGUGGAAAGGAUUCCGGCUAGGGAUGGGCUCGCGGCCUAUCAGCUUGUUGGUGGGGGUAACGGCCUACCAAGGCGACGACGGGUA
This 255-nucleotide ribosomal RNA is filed under the name uncultured bacterium. Its description in RNAcentral is "partial small subunit ribosomal RNA". It matches the Rfam family "Bacterial small subunit ribosomal RNA", at positions 26 to 285 of the family's 1533-position model. The record is from RNAcentral.